AAAUUGAAGAGUUUGAUCAUGGCUCAGAUUGAACGCUGGCGGCAGGCCUAACACAUGCAAGUCGAGCGGUAGCACAGAGAGCUUGCUCUCGGGUGACGAGCGGCGGACGGGUGAGUAAUGUCUGGGAAACUGCCUGAUGGAGAGGGAUAACUACUGGAAACGGUAGCUAAUACCGCAUAAUGUCGCAAGACCAAAGUGGGGGACCUUCGGGCCUCAUGCCAUCAGAUGUGCCCAGAUGGGAUUAGCUAGUAGGUGGGGUAACGGCUCACCUAGGCGACGAUCCCUAGCUGGUCUGAGAGGAUGACCAGCCACACUGGAACUGAGACACGGUCCAGACUCCUACGGGAGGCAGCAGUGGGGAAUAUUGCACAAUGGGCGCAAGCCUGAUGCAGCCAUGCCGCGUGUGUGAAGAAGGCCUUCGGGUUGUAAAGCACUUUCAGCGGGGAGGAAGGCG
Molecule: ribosomal RNA, 454 nt
Filed under: Klebsiella pneumoniae
Lineage: Bacteria; Pseudomonadati; Pseudomonadota; Gammaproteobacteria; Enterobacterales; Enterobacteriaceae
Description: bacterial SSU rRNA
Rfam family: Bacterial small subunit ribosomal RNA
Source: RNAcentral